GUCCUCGAACAAGGCAAGUAUCAAGAACAGGGAAAAGGUUUGAAAGUGUGGGAACUCUCCUAAUCCUCAAUAACCAUACCUUAACCUCAAAUCUCUGAACCAUAUAAGCAACCGACUAGGACCACACACUUUUACUAGAACUUUCGCUGAUCACUGUUCAAAGAUCGGCUCCAUACUCUAUAUCUCAAUCCUGAAAAGGCACACUUUCUAGACAGAACUCACAUACAUCAUUCAGGGUAGACGGGCUAAGUAUGAACAUGCUAAUUUAUAGUGAGUCAAAAAAGUGUUUAGGGUUUACCAAAUUUUUUGUAGUGAAUGCAGGAUAUCGCGCAAAAUAGCAAGAGAGGAUGGAUCCAUUGACGUCCACAACCCC
RNAcentral lists this long non-coding RNA (373 nucleotides) under Brassica napus (rape). Its description in RNAcentral is "long non-coding RNA (BNAP_LNC013572)". Lineage: Eukaryota; Viridiplantae; Streptophyta; Magnoliopsida; Brassicales; Brassicaceae. The record is from RNAcentral.